Molecule: long non-coding RNA, 1369 nt
Filed under: Equus caballus (horse)
Lineage: Eukaryota; Metazoa; Chordata; Mammalia; Perissodactyla; Equidae
Description: lncRNA (ENSECAG00000048475.1)
Source: RNAcentral
CUAAAGUGUCAUUUUAAUACACUUUAUGGAGGAAGGGGCCCAGGAAUGCUUGUGCUGAAAGGUCCCAGGCGUUAAACGCGGCCCCAGUGCAGGUCCCUGGGGUGGUCCAGGCUCCGCGGUGCUCAGUCCCUGCAGAGCGGGGCGGGGAGGCUGCGUGUCCUGGGGUCAGAGAGGCCCCUGGGAGCCUCUGUUUGAGGACACUGAGGGCAGGGUCUGGACACGGGUUCCAGCCUGCAUGCUGCCCCUGGCUUCUUGCGUGGUCCUGGGAGAGGCACCUGCAACCCUCCUUGGGGCCUCAGUUUCCCCUUUGUCCAGGGCAUGGUCAGGCCUAGUGGUCCCCAGGGACCCAGAAAGGCAUGAACUCCAUUAGGUCCCAGAGCUUCCCACUCAGGCUGGGGCCGAGGCACCAGGCGGGGGCUGCCCGAGGGCUGCGAGGGUCUGCGAAGCCCCUGUGGGUCAAGGCCACCUUUGUGGGAAGCCGUGGGCCAGGCCCUGGCUGGCGCUGAUGCCCAUGGCCGUGUGGAGUAGGAGCUGCAGAACUCAGGGGGAAACUAGGGGACUGUUCUGACCCAGAAUGUGGAGCCGCGCAGGCUCCUUAUGGGGAGAAGGACGGAGGACGGGGUUCUGUGCUCCCUGCCGACAGGGACCCUCCCUCAACGUUGACACUGAGAAGUGGAGGAUGCUCUUUCUGGAACAUACCGCUAAGCGUGACCCCGUACAAGUCGUACCAGCCAGCUAUGGCCCCGGAACACUGCGUGACAAGGUGCCCCACAACUUAGCGCCUUAAAACAGCAGCAUUUAUGAUUUCUCGUGAGUUGAGGGUGGGUCUGAUGGGUGUGCUGAUCUGCUGGACUCUCCGUGUCAGUCAUGUCUGACGGCUCUCCCUUCUGCUUAUAAUGACACGUGUGUGUGGGACGUUUAUGGGGACGUGAGUGGAAUAAGUCAGCUGUACACUUACCCACACAGCAUCGACACACAGGAGGCGCUCAACACACGUAUGUUGAAGGAACAAGUUACUCUUUUCAGGCUUGGCCCAAGUCUCACCUCCUCCAGGAAGCCCUCCGCGAUUGCUCUAAUUGACACGGAGCUCAUCCACCUCCUGAGAGUCAGGGCAGCGUGGCCAUUCAGAGCACAGACCCCAGAGCCGGGUAGCCCGGGGUCAAAUCCUGCCUCACCCCUUCGCAGCCUCUCUGUGCCUUAGUUUCCUUGUCUAUAAAAUGGGCAAAAAUAUAGCAAUCCAAGAGGGGCUUAGCACGUGGUAAACGCUUAGGAAGUGUUAGAUCAAGUGAACGAAGCCAGACACAAACGGUCACAUGGUCCACUUAUAGGAAAUGUCCGCAACAGGCAAGUCUGUGUGGACAGAAUGCAG